RNAcentral lists this ribosomal RNA (253 nucleotides) under uncultured bacterium. RNAcentral's name for it is "partial 16S ribosomal RNA". It matches the Rfam family "Bacterial small subunit ribosomal RNA", at positions 524 to 776 of the family's 1533-position model. The record is from RNAcentral.
UACGGAGGGUGCGAGCGUUAUCCGGAAUUACUGGGUUUAAAGGGUGCGUAGGCUGCUAUGUAAGUCAGGAGUGAAAGUUUGCGGCUCAACCGUAAAAUUGCUUUUGAUACUGCAUGGCUAGAAUCAGGAUGAGGUUAGCGGAAUGUGGCAUGUAGCGGUGAAAUGCAUAGAUAUGCCAUAGAACACCAAUUGCGAAGGCAGCUGGCUAGACCUGCAUUGACGCUGAGGCACGAAAGCGUGGGGAGCGAACAGG